GCUGGCGGCAGGCCUAACACAUGCAAGUCGAACGGAGUUAUAUUGUAGCUUGCUAUGGUAUAACUUAGUGGCAGACGGGUGAGUAAUGUAUAGGAAUCUACCUAGUAGUACGGAAUAAUUGUUGGAAACGGCAACUAAUACCGUAUACGCCCUACGGGGGAAAAAUUUAUUGCUAUUAGAUGAGCCUAUAUUAGAUUAGCUAGUUGGUGGAGUAAUAGCCUACCAAGGCAAUGAUCUAUAGCUGAUCUGAGAGGAUGAUCAGCCACACUGGAACUGAGAUACGGUCCAGACUCCUACGGGAGGCAGCAGUGGGGAAUAUUGGACAAUGGGCGAAAGCCUGAUCCAGCCAUGCCGCACGAGUGAAGAAGGCCUUUGGGUUGUAAAGCUCUUUUAGUGAGGAAGAUAAUGACGGUACUCACAGAAGAAGUCCUGGCUAACUCCGUGCCAGCAGCCGCGGUAAUACGGAGAGGGCUAGCGUUAUUCGGAAUUAUUGGGCGUAAAGGGCGCGUAGGCGGAUUAGUAAGUUAAAAGUGAAAUCCCAAGGCUCAACCUUGGAAUUGCUUUUAAAACUGCUAAUCUAGAGAUUGAAAGAGGAUAGAGGAAUUCCUAGUGUAGAGGUGAAAUUCGUAAAUAUUAGGAGGAACACCAGUGGCGAAGGCGUCUAUCUGGUUCAAAUCUGACGCUGAGGCGCGAAGGCGUGGGGAGCAAACAGGAUUAGAUACCCUGGUAGUCCACGCUGUAAACGAUGAAUGUUAAAUAUGGGAAGUUUUACUUUCUAUAUUACAGCUAACGCGUUAAACAUUCCGCCUGGGGACUAC
Molecule: ribosomal RNA, 818 nt
Filed under: uncultured bacterium
Lineage: Bacteria
Description: bacterial SSU rRNA
Rfam family: Bacterial small subunit ribosomal RNA
Source: RNAcentral